AGUUUAAUACACAAAACUAUAUAUUGAGGAUCAUGGGAUUACUAUCCCGAAUUAGAUAUGAAAUACUUUGAUAUACACGAAUUGUAGAUAGAAAGUAGUUUGAAAACCUUGGGAUUAUCAUCCCGAACUAGUUACAAGAUAGUUUGAUAUACUUGAAAUUAUAGAUUGAAAACCAUGGGACUACUAUCCCGAACUAGAUAUAAGAUUGUUUGAUAAAACCAUGGGAUCACUAUCCCGAACUAGGUAUAAGAUAAAUGGAUAAAGCCAUGGGAUUAUUAUCCCGUACUAGAUAUAGUUUCAAAANAUUGUUUGAUAAAACCAUGGGAUCACUAUCCCGAACUAGAUAUAAGAUAAUUGGAUAAAGUCAUGGGAUUACCAUCCCGUACUAGAU
Molecule: long non-coding RNA, 391 nt
Filed under: Lactuca sativa (garden lettuce)
Lineage: Eukaryota; Viridiplantae; Streptophyta; Magnoliopsida; Asterales; Asteraceae
Description: long non-coding RNA (LSAT_LNC004229)
Source: RNAcentral